UUUCCAAUGCUGGAUGUAUCGGAUGUGUCUUCUGCCAAGAUGGGAGAAAGCUUUGUGUUACAAAAAACAUUUACAAAGCUCAUAUAAGUUCUGAGCAUUAGCAACGUUUGGGGCAUUUGAUGAUUUUUCCAGCCAAGCCUCUGACAGCCAUUUGCUUAAUGUUAUAACAAAAGCAACUUGAAAAGAAAGGUGUUUCCACCAUUUGAGGAAGAGAAUCAGACUGAAAAGGAUAAGGCUGUUGGAGCAACCAGUGUCUGGAGAGCUUCUGUUCCCCUUAGCAGAAGACACAGAAGUGUGGCCAUGUGACCUGGGUGUUAAAGCUUCCAUCCAGAAGUCAUAUACAACACCCUUCUGAGGCAAAAAGGCAAGAUUGCAGUUGGAAUUGAAGAGCCAGGAGGUCAAUGACAGGUGAAGAUGAGAUUCUGAGGAGAAGUGGAUGAGGGACAAAGAGACACUUCAAGCAUUUACCGUGGAUGAAUGGAGGUGCCUGCAGCCGCCCGUGUGUUGUGUGACCUUGGCUCAGAGACCUGGCAGUCGCUUUCCAAAGGGAAAGACCAGGCAGAUUAAAUGGAUUUUUUAAAAUG
Molecule: long non-coding RNA, 584 nt
Organism: Suricata suricatta (meerkat)
Lineage: Eukaryota; Metazoa; Chordata; Mammalia; Carnivora; Herpestidae
Exons: 3
Source: RefSeq, a predicted model, not a curated record